GAUGAACGCUAGCGGCAGGCUUAAUACAUGCAAGUCGAGGGGCAUCAAGGUACACGAAAGUGUAUUGUUGGCGACCGGCGGACGGGUGAGUAAUAGGUAGGUAACCUACCUCAUACUGAGGCAUAGCUGGGAGAAAUUCCAGGUAAUUCCUCAUGAGGUUAUAUGACACAUGUGAUAUAAUCAAAGGUAUCGCAAGGUACUGGUAUGAGAUGGGCUUACUGACCAUUAGCUAGUUGGUGAGAUAAGAGCUCACCAAGGCGAAGAUGGUUAGGGGUUUUGAGAGAGAGAUCCCCCACAUUGGAACUGAGAUACGGUCCAGACUCCUACGGGAGGCAGCAGUAGGGAAUAUUGGGCAAUGGGCGGAAGCCUGACCCAGCCAUGCCGCGUGAAGGAAGACGGCCUUAUGGGUUGUAAACUUCUUUACUAUGCGACUAACUAGAUUUACGAGAUAAUUCUAUAGAAUGUAGCAUAGACAAAAAGCAACC
This 485-nucleotide ribosomal RNA is filed under the name uncultured bacterium. RNAcentral's name for it is "bacterial SSU rRNA". It matches the Rfam family "Bacterial small subunit ribosomal RNA", at positions 28 to 495 of the family's 1533-position model. The record is from RNAcentral.